This 284-nucleotide ribosomal RNA is filed under the name Salmonella enterica subsp. enterica serovar Weltevreden. RNAcentral describes it as "partial 23S ribosomal RNA". It matches the Rfam family "Bacterial large subunit ribosomal RNA", at positions 2659 to 2925 of the family's 2925-position model. Lineage: Bacteria; Pseudomonadati; Pseudomonadota; Gammaproteobacteria; Enterobacterales; Enterobacteriaceae. The record is from RNAcentral. RNAcentral also lists the same sequence under 1 other name.
GAACUGAGGGGGGCUGCUCCUAGUACGAGAGGACCGGAGUGGACGCAUCACUGGUGUUCGGGUUGUCAUGCCAAUGGCACUGCCCGGUAGCUAAAUGCGGAAGAGAUAAGUGCUGAAAGCAUCUAAGCACGAAACUUGCCCCGAGAUGAGUUCUCCCUGAGACUUAGAGUCUCCUGAAGGAACGUUGAAGACGACGACGUUGAUAGGCCGGGUGUGUAAGCGCAGCGAUGCGUUGAGCUAACCGGUACUAAUGAACCGUGAGGCUUAACCUUACAACGCCGAAG